Molecule: small nucleolar RNA, 88 nt
Organism: Manihot esculenta (cassava)
Lineage: Eukaryota; Viridiplantae; Streptophyta; Magnoliopsida; Malpighiales; Euphorbiaceae
Product: small nucleolar RNA R38
Exons: 1
Source: RefSeq, a predicted model, not a curated record
GUUUGUGUGUGAUGAGAAAAGUAAAAUAUCACACAGUUAUCCCUGUCUGAUAUAUUUUUAUGCUGAUUAUAAGUGAUCUGAUACAAAC